Molecule: ribosomal RNA, 493 nt
Filed under: uncultured bacterium
Lineage: Bacteria
Description: bacterial SSU rRNA
Rfam family: Bacterial small subunit ribosomal RNA
Source: RNAcentral
AUUGAACGCUGGCGGCAGGCCUAACACAUGCAAGUCGAGCGGUAGAGAGGUGCUUGCAUCUCUUGAGAGCGGCGGACGGGUGAGUAAUGCCUAGGAAUCUGCCUAGUGGUGGGGGAUAACGUUCGGAAACGGACGCUAAUACCGCAUACGUCCUACGGGAGAAAGCGGGGGGAUCUUCGGACCUCGCGCCAUUAGAUGAGCCUAGGUCGGAUUAGCUAGUUGGUGAGGUAAUGGCUCACCAAGGCGACGAUCCGUAACUGGUCUGAGAGGAUGAUCAGUCACACUGGAACUGAGACACGGUCCAGACUCCUACGGGAGGCAGCAGUGGGGAAUAUUGGGACAAUGGGCGAAAGCCUGAUCCAGCCAUGCCGCGUGUGUGAAGAAGGUCUUCGGAUUGUAAAGCACUUUAAGUUGGGAGGAAGGGUAGUAACCUAAUACGUUGCUACUUUGACGUUACCGACAGAAUAAGCACCGGCUAACUUACGUGCCAGCA